AAGCCCCCUUUUCAGCGCUAAUCUGAUGGCUGAGAUCACUUCUUUCACUGAAUAUACUCUUCAGUUACAAAAUCCCAUUAACACCACCAUAAAUUAGGGAUUUUUUCACCAGUUCUCCUCCCAUUUUUGCAAGUUACAAAAACCAUUAUUUGCAACAUUCAUUCCCUUCGAUUCACAACCGGACAAUCAAUUUCUUACGUUACAUUACAACAUGAACCUCUUGAAAUGUUCGAAUAUAUAGACCUCUAGACGGGUUAUCAUCUUCCUAGGCUCCAAUUCCUUCUUCAGCGUACUCUCCCAAGAAUACUAGACAUUGCACACAGUUAAACAGGUUCACCGAAGAACUGAAAUUGCUCAUCUCGAUUUCAAGCGAUGCAAGCAUGGAUCCUUCAAAAUGUAACAUAUAUGCUCUCCAAAGUGACAUGUUGUUGUCUAAUUUGCUGAAAGACAUAAUGUCGGUUGAGCUGAAAGGAAUUGCAAGCGAAAGGGUUUGCUGUCUUUCUGCCCUAGAUAUCGAGGUCCAGAAAUUGGUUGGUGCCAUAGCUUCCGAUGCAUUGGAGUUUUUUGGUACUGCAAGGACAAGUAAAAGUCAAAGUGCAGUCCGCCUUCAAUGUUAUCAUGCAUUGAGAAACUGGGCGUUUAACAUGAAGAAACUGAUGCCUCCUACCUUUAAAGUUACCUGCAUAUCGUGCGGUCAAUCAAUCUGCAUUUUCCACAAAAUGUGUUACGGAUAGCAUGACAAUCGAACCCAAUGAGUAUUUGGCUGAUGAGAUGGUGAAAGACGAAACCCAUUGGUGUGAACUCUGUCAAUGAGAAUUGCUAUCCAAAAUGUCACCUUACAGUGUUAUCGGAUUCGAUGCAUUGCCAAAUUGGAGAUUAGAUAGCUUUAGUAGUAUUAUAUUUUCUCUGUCUACUUUGUAGUGGUAUUGCGUCAGUUUUUUCUUUUCAUGAAAAUCGCAUUUGGUUGUCUUAUUUUGUGUCUUCUUUUUUUGGUUUCAUGGUGAUCCAAUCCACGGUUUGAAAAACGGGUCACUGCUCAAGUCACGGUCACUGGGUGUGAUCGUUAUAACGCGUUUUGACGGGUGUGAACACAUUUCGAACA
Long non-coding RNA from Papaver somniferum (opium poppy), 1102 nucleotides. RefSeq lists it as uncharacterized. The record is from RefSeq and is a predicted model, not a curated record. The transcript has 3 exons. Lineage: Eukaryota; Viridiplantae; Streptophyta; Magnoliopsida; Ranunculales; Papaveraceae.